AGUGAACGCUGGCGGUAGACCUAACACAUGCAAGUCGAACGGCAGCACAGUAAGAGCUUGCUCUUACGGGUGGCGAGUGGCGGACGGGUGAGGAAUACAUCGGAAUCUACUUUUUCGUGGGGGAUAACGUAGGGAAACUUACGCUAAUACCGCAUACGACCUACGGGUGAAAGCAGGGGAUCUUCGGACCUUGCGCGAUUGAAUGAGCCGAUGUCGGAUUAGCUAGUUGGCGGGGUAGAGGCCCACCAAGGCGACGAUCCGUAGCUGGUCUGAGAGGAUGAUCAGCCACACUGGAACUGAGACACGGUCCAGACUCCUACGGGAGGCAGCAGUGGGGAAUAUUGGACAAUGGGCGCAAGCCUGAUCCAGCCAUACCGCGUGGGUGAAGAAGGCCUUCGGGUUGUAAAGCCCUUUUGUUGGGAAAGAAAAGCAGCAGGUUAAUACCCCGCUGUUCUGACGGUACCCAAAGAAUAAGCACCGGCUAACUUCGUG
RNAcentral lists this ribosomal RNA (492 nucleotides) under uncultured bacterium. RNAcentral's name for it is "partial 16S ribosomal RNA". It matches the Rfam family "Bacterial small subunit ribosomal RNA", at positions 29 to 507 of the family's 1533-position model. The record is from RNAcentral.